This 467-nucleotide ribosomal RNA is filed under the name uncultured bacterium. RNAcentral's name for it is "partial 16S ribosomal RNA". It matches the Rfam family "Bacterial small subunit ribosomal RNA", at positions 28 to 507 of the family's 1533-position model. The record is from RNAcentral.
GACGAACGCUGGCGGCGUGCUUAACACAUGCAAGUCGAACGGAAAGGCCCUGCUUUUGUGGGGUGCUCGAGUGGCGAACGGGUGAGUAACACGUGAGUAACCUGCCCUUGACUUUGGGAUAACUUCAGGAAACUGGGGCUAAUACCGGAUAGGAGCUCCUGCUGCAUGGUGGGGGUUGGAAAGUUUCGGCGGUUGGGGAUGGACUCGCGGCUUAUCAGCUUGUUGGUGGGGUAGUGGCUUACCAAGGCUUUGACGGGUAGCCGGCCUGAGAGGGUGACCGGCCACAUGGGGACUGAGAUACGGCCCAGACUCCGACGGGAGGCAGCAGUGGGGAAUAUGGCACAAUGGGCGGAAGCCUGAUGCAGCAACGCCGCGUGCGGGAUGACGGCCUUCGGGUUGUAACCGCUUUCGCCUGUGACGAAGCGUGAGUGACGGUAAUGGGUAAAGAAGCACCGGCUAACUACGUG